Molecule: ribosomal RNA, 427 nt
Filed under: uncultured soil bacterium
Lineage: Bacteria
Description: bacterial SSU rRNA
Rfam family: Bacterial small subunit ribosomal RNA
Source: RNAcentral
AGAACCUUACCUGGGCUUGACAUGCACUGGAAACCAGUAGAGAUAUUGGCCCCCUUGUGGCCGGUGUACAGGUGGUGCAUGGCUGUCGUCAGCUCGUGUCGUGAGAUGUUGGGUUAAGUCCCGCAACGAGCGCAACCCUCGUUCCAUGUUGCCAGCGCGUUAUGGCGGGGACUCAUGGGAGACUGCCGGGGUCAACUCGGAGGAAGGUGGGGAUGACGUCAAGUCAUCAUGCCCCUUAUGUCCAGGGCUUCACACAUGCUACAAUGGCCGGUACAAAGGGCUGCUAAGCCGUGAGGUGGAGCGAAUCCCAUAAAGCCGGUCUCAGUUCGGAUCGGGGUCUGCAACUCGACCCCGUGAAGUCGGAGUCGCUAGUAAUCGCAGAUCAGCAACGCUGCGGUGAAUACGUUCCCGGGCCUUGUCACACCGA